Molecule: ribosomal RNA, 445 nt
Filed under: uncultured bacterium
Lineage: Bacteria
Description: bacterial SSU rRNA
Rfam family: Bacterial small subunit ribosomal RNA
Source: RNAcentral
UCCAGACUCCUACGGGAGGCAGCAGUGGGGAAUAUUGGGCAAUGGGCGCAAGCCUGACCCAGCAACGCCGCGUGAAGGAAGAAGGCUUUCGGGUUGUAAACUUCUUUUCUGAGGGACGAUAGUGACGGUACCUCAGGAAUAAGCCCCGGCUAACUACGUGCCAGCAGCCGCGGUAAUACGUAGGGGGCAAGCGUUAUCCGGAUUUACUGGGUGUAAAGGGAGCGUAGACGGCAAUGCAAGUCUGGAGUGAAAGCCCAAGGCCCAACCAUGGGACUGCUCUGGAAACUGUGUAGCUUGAGUGCAGGAGGGGUAAGCGGAAUUCCUAGUGUAGCGGUGAAAUGCGUAGAUAUUAGGAGGAACACCGGUGGCGAAGGCGGCUUACUGGACUGCAACUGACGUUGAGGCUCGAAGGCGUGGGGAGCAAACAGGAUUAGAUACCCUCGUA